UGCCAGCCGCCGCGGUAAUACGAAGGGACCUAGCGUAGUUCGGAAUUACUGGGCUUAAAGAGUACGUAGGUGGUUAAAAAAGUUGGUGGUGAAAUCCCAAGGCUUAACCUUGGAACUGCCAUCAAAACUUUUUAACUAGAGUAUGAUAGAGGUAAGUGGAAUUUCUAGUGUAGAGGUGAAAUUCGUAGAUAUUAGAAAGAACUCCGAUUGCGAAGGCAGCUUUCUGGAUCAUUACUGACACUGAGGUACGAAAGCAUAGGUAGCGAAGAGGAUUAGAUA
Molecule: ribosomal RNA, 279 nt
Filed under: uncultured bacterium
Lineage: Bacteria
Description: partial 16S ribosomal RNA
Rfam family: Bacterial small subunit ribosomal RNA
Source: RNAcentral